RNAcentral lists this unclassified non-coding RNA (182 nucleotides) under uncultured fungus. Its description in RNAcentral is "sequence contains ITS1, 5.8S rRNA gene". Lineage: Eukaryota; Fungi. The record is from RNAcentral.
CCAAAUCAACGGCCGAAAGGCCUUGCCCUAGGGGGGGAAACCCCCCGACGGUAAACCCUUUGUGAAAACCCUUCGUUUGCCUCGGCGGCACCUUUUAAUUAGGGGUCAGCCCGCCGACGGCACCAACCAAAACUCUUUUUGAAUUGAAGAAUCUAGUCUGAAUCAAUGGUCGAAUGACUAUA